AUACUUACCUGGACGAGGUAUAUGGGUGAUCAACAAGGCUAAUGCCUAGGUAAGCGACUUACAUUGCACUUGGGAAGGGCGCUUGCCUAAGGUCUCCUCAAAGUAGGAGAGCCUACGUCAUAAUUUGUGGCAGUGGGGGCCUGCGUUCGCGAUUCCCCGUU
Molecule: non-coding RNA, 161 nt
Organism: Gossypium raimondii (Peruvian cotton)
Lineage: Eukaryota; Viridiplantae; Streptophyta; Magnoliopsida; Malvales; Malvaceae
Source: Rfam